This is a long non-coding RNA of Felis catus (domestic cat), 1121 nucleotides long. RefSeq lists it as uncharacterized. The record is from RefSeq and is a predicted model, not a curated record. NCBI's taxonomy places the organism in Eukaryota, Metazoa, Chordata, Mammalia, Carnivora, Felidae. The transcript has 3 exons.
UUCUCUGCAAGGCAGUGGAACAGUGUGCUGGCGAGUUUAGAGCGGAGACUUUGGGGCAAGACAGAAUGGGGUUUGAUCCUGGCUCCUCUACUGAUUAGCCAUCUGACCCGUGACAAGACACUUAACUUCUGUUGUCUCAGCUUCCUCAUCUGUAGAACGGGUUAGGGAAAAAAAGUACCAGCUUGGGGGUUGUGAGGACUACAAUACGUGUACAGGGAUCAACAGAGGUUCGUAGUGUGUACUUAGUGCUUAACGAAUGGAGGGGAUGUCUUCUAAAUUUCUUGUCACCUGCAGGUACAUUUCUCUUGCAGAUUGUUAGGAAAGCAUUGCUCUUCGUAAAGGAAGAUUACCCACUUACGCCUCCCAGCGCUGGGAUCCGACUCUCCACAUUGGGUCAAGGACUCUCCACAUUGGGUCAAGGCCGCCCAGUGGGCCAACCCUGUCCUCAGGCUGGAGGGGCCUAGGAACUGCAGCCGUUGUUGUCCCCAGGAGGCAUCUGUCAGCCUCCCCACAGGGUGCCUGCCAACCAAACAGGAGGAGCAGGGCCCAGCACCCGCAACACCAUCAAGCAGCUGACCCACCUUUUCCCCUCCGUCCCAGGACAGAGGUCAUCGUGGGAAAUACAGAGUUUCAAAUCAUCCACAGUGAAACCAAAAGGAAAAAAGUCCACGCUCAUGUUUUGUCUUAGCUCCUCUGGGGAGGCACCAAAGACAGAUGCUUGUGGAGUCCACCCCUGCCGAGCUGAUCCCGGCACAGGCCGCCUGGGUUCCUUGCUGAUGUCCUGGGACAGUUUCCUCUUCCCCCACCUUCCUGUUUGCCUGCAAGGCCAUCCAAAAUGUUGGUUUCCUGAGGCAAAGCAUCCUUCUCCUGGGGGGACUGGGUACAAUAAAACAGCUGCCUCCCAAGAACCUUGCAAAGAUCGAGCGAGAUGGGGUGGGUCAAAGCAUGAACUUGAGAGCACCUGCAGCUGUGAGUUCUGACAAUAAAGAUGCACGUAUGUGCAUGCAACAAUAAUUAGCACUGUGGCACGUCUCUCACUUUUAAGAAUGCGACAUAUUACAUCAUUGACACUGGCCAACAAAGCAUAUGGUCAAUUGAGUUAAUUCACAAAAAUAGCUCAG